AUUUUUAUCUUGAAUUUUACCUGCUGCAUCUUGAUAUAUGGGUUAGUGUUGGGGGACUGAUAGAGAGUUGUUCUGUCAGCUCUACUUGAACUAACCUCAUUACUCUUGGAUUCUUCCCUAAGGCUGUUUCUACCCCAUUUUUACAACUAGAGCAACAUGAAGAGGCUGAAGUUUUGCAGAGACUUGCCUCUAUGACAUGAAUUGCUAAUUCAUCUUUGUAUGUGUGUGUUUCAGUAGCUGCUUUCCUCGUACAAGCAACUCACUGAGUUGUCCAAUUAGAUUGUCAGAAGGAGCAUUUUAUCAUUAAGAUGCUCUGUGUUCAAAUGUAUUUCACUGACUACUUAUGUACUGGUGACAAGCUACCAAAAAGAUGGGCAGAAGAUGAGAGACAUUUGUGGCUCAUCUAAUUACUAUGAUGUGAAUGGUGUACACUGCUUUUUUGCCAAGCUUGGCCAACCUCAUUGCCAUGGCACCCAGCGGACAAUUAAACCAGGUUCUCAGCUCCUGCUGGCCUCCACAGCAUUGCUUUAGGUUGCUCCAGAUACCACCACAGCCUGCCUUGAACCCCCUGGAGUCUGCUUCCCAGUAGCUGCUGGCAGAGGCCUGAAAAGUCUUGUGUGAGCACAUCACAACGAUGAACAUCUGACCUGUGGCAAACUCCUUGCUAGCUGCAACCAGGGUGCUGGUUAGGCAUUCCAGUCCCUGUUCUGCUGAGUCAGUUCCAAGAUGCGAGGGACACUUCCCUUUCCUUCCUCUUGUCCUCUCCAAGUCAGUAACAGUUCCAGGAGCAGAGGACAGUUUCAGCCUGGAUCAACUGCUGAGGUUUUUUUACCUUUGUAUUUUACUUCCUUUCAUGUGAUGCUGAUCCCAGACACGAGCCCAAGUUAAACAUUCCUGUCUUCUUUUUUUUUAAUGCUUUACGUAAAAGAUUCAGGUCUGUGAGGUUCUUCUGGAAAGUCGAAAGUUCCUUCUCCUUUUGGCUUUGCAAACAUGAAUUUUGAUCAUAAGAUACUCCUGGUGUGAACAGUAGCAUACAUCCGACUGCAGAAUUCAGGUACAAAACAAUAGCCACGGCAAUAAUUAAAACACAUGUUGGUCUUGCAUGGUAGACAAAAUCACACCUGAUACUUCUGAUCUGUAAUUCAAUUUUGGGAGUUCUGCAAAGGUUGAAAUGUGCUCUACUCAUUGAAAUGACAAGACUGAACUACAUUAGGAUACUAUUAUGAUGGAACAAUGUUUUCCAGAGCAGUUGAUUUAAAAUAGGUCUGUCUUCAAAGGAUCUGCAAAUUUAUUUUCUAAGUUAGAGAUGCUCUAACAAAUCAAAUAAAGACAAGUGUAUAUCUAAAUACUAGAAAUUAAGUCUUUAUUGUUGUACUUAAUAAUGUGUAUAUAUUAGAUUAUUUGAACAAUUAUCUCAAAUUAUUUGUUUUACAUGCUUAUUAUUUUAUUCCUUUACUAUUAAAAAUCACCAUUUCUAGAUACAAGUAUAACCUUAGUGGUUAAACUGAAAUACUAUGCAUCUGACUGCUCAUGAAAUAGUACCUCUAGUAAAUCAUAUUAAUGAACAUAUCAACAGUACAGAAACAUUCUUUUUCUCUCUAUUUGAAUAGUUUAGUCACCAAAUUAUUCAAUGGACCAAAAUGUAUUUCUGUGACAAAAUGGAUUAAACUCAUAAAGCUCUAAGAAACGCUUAUCUUGCCUGUCAUCUCUCUCCGGUCACCCAGUUGGACAAAUGGGGCUCAUAGUUACUUGCCUCCUCUCUAGCUCAUUUGCCCAAGGCAGCAAACCAGAGGAACUACAGCAUCAAGAUGGGAAAACUGGGCUUGGGCUACCGAAGCACAUCCAUCACCUGAGCAAAGUGAAGAAAUCAAGUAGAGAUAGAAGGUAACAUACCCUUGGGAGGUGAUCUAAAACAAAUAUUUAAGUGUGCUUUGUAAAGAAGAAUCUUAGUCUGAUUUUUAAGUGGUUAAAAGAUAAACUCCGAGUGCUCCCUCCCAUCAGUGUGAGAAGAGGAAGGAUUUUACUGUACCAUGACCUAAGAUGAAUGGUAACA
Molecule: long non-coding RNA, 2053 nt
Organism: Neopsephotus bourkii (Bourke's parrot)
Lineage: Eukaryota; Metazoa; Chordata; Aves; Psittaciformes; Psittacidae
Exons: 5
Source: RefSeq, a predicted model, not a curated record